This is a long non-coding RNA of Lycium barbarum (goji berry), 460 nucleotides long. RefSeq lists it as uncharacterized. The transcript is spliced from 3 exons. NCBI's taxonomy places the organism in Eukaryota, Viridiplantae, Streptophyta, Magnoliopsida, Solanales, Solanaceae. The record is from RefSeq and is a predicted model, not a curated record.
ACAGGUUUGAACCUCAUGUGCUUACAUUCUUGGAAUGUUUUAUGGCGGAGAGGACAGAACCAGAAAAGAUACGAUAUAUCGAAGGCAGAAAUUUUAUACGUGAAAUCCCAAGGAAUAAUCAAGACUAUAAAGAUAUUUGUUGGACAUAGUAAAAUUUUAUAUGUACGUUCUAAUUGGAACAUGCUUCAAGUCACAAGAAACCCGCAGCCGCUAUCUUUCGGGUGAGCACUGGGUAACUUGCUCACUGUGCAAUAGCUCGCAAACCGCACUAGGCAAGCUCAGUGCUACGAGCUUUGACUGAGAAGGCUGUUGGUGAGGGGAAUCGAUCCCAGGUCUUCCAUGUGAAAAAUUAAUCACCCAACCCUUGUGGGUCUCUCACAUGUUAAAUGAUACUAAAAUAUUUUACUGCCAGUGUACAUAAUUUAAAUUCGUUAACAACGCAAAAAAGGAGAUAAUAACC